CCUGGUGGCUCAGCGGUAAAGAAUCUGCCUGCAAUGCAGAAGACUCGGGUUUGAUUCCUGGGUCAGGA
Molecule: transfer RNA, 68 nt
Filed under: Ovis aries (sheep)
Lineage: Eukaryota; Metazoa; Chordata; Mammalia; Artiodactyla; Bovidae
Rfam family: tRNA
About the family: Transfer RNA (tRNA) molecules are approximately 80 nucleotides in length.
Source: Rfam by way of RNAcentral